RNAcentral lists this long non-coding RNA (599 nucleotides) under Capsicum annuum. RNAcentral describes it as "long non-coding RNA (CANN_LNC006488)". The record is from RNAcentral. Lineage: Eukaryota; Viridiplantae; Streptophyta; Magnoliopsida; Solanales; Solanaceae.
UUUACAAGUCACCACCAACAACAACACCAGUCUACAAGUCUCCACCUCCACCAACUCCAGUUUACAAGUCACCCCCACCACACAAGAAGUCAUACUAUCCUUCACACACACCAAUUUACAAGUCAACACCACCACCGCCACCCAAGAAGUCAUACUAUCCUCCACACACCCCAGUUUACAAGUCUCCACCACCACCAACUCCAGUUUACAAGUCUCCACCACCACCCAAAAAGCCAUACUACCCUCCACACACCCCAGUUCAUAAGUCUCCACCACCAAUUCCGGUGUACAAGUCGCCGCCACCACCUAAGAGGUCAUACCAUCCUACACCAGUUUACAAGUCACCACCACCACCACCAACGAAGCCAUACCAUCCUACACCAGUUUACAAGUCACCAACAACAACAACAAAGCCAUACCAUCCUUCACCAGCACCAUACCAUCCUGCACCAGUUGACAAGUUUCCACCACCAUCAAAUCCUGUUUACAAAUCUCCACCACCACCAGUGAAGCCAUACCAUCCUUCACCAACUCCGUACCAUCCUACACCAGUUUACAAGUCUUCACCACCACCAACUCCAGUCUAUAAGUCUCCUCCA